Molecule: long non-coding RNA, 2973 nt
Organism: Amphiprion ocellaris (clown anemonefish)
Lineage: Eukaryota; Metazoa; Chordata; Actinopteri; Pomacentridae
Source: Ensembl
UCAAUAUUUAACAUGGCAAUGUUCAGUUUUUCACCCUCCCUCAUUUCUCCGUCACCUGCUAACAUCACCCUCCUUUGGACAAUUUACUGUCCAACCAUCCAGAGUCUACGCACUCAGUGUAUGUCUCGUGGUGGGGUACGCACUCACACUUGACAUUUGAGCAAGACAUUUAGGAACGAAGGGAAGUACAGAGCGUUUUCUUGGGAGAGACUGGGAUUGUUUUGGGAGUAUAUGUUUUUUUCAUGUUUUCUCUGACAGCAUGGAGUACUGCACUUUGAAAGGAUUCCUGGUGGUUUUGCUGAUACAACACUGCAAGUCUGAAGAUCUGUCUACCUCCAUCCAAUCCUCCACUGCGGUCGCCCACCAAGAUGGCCAGAGCUUACCCCAGGAUCCAGAGUUGCCCCCCGCAGAAGUGGUACCAGUAGCGUCCCCUCCUAGCCUGAAGGAGGUGCAGCAGGCCGUGCAGGAGGCAUCAGAGCAGGUGGAGGGUCGUGGGGCUGAGGAAGUGCUGAAGGAGCUGCUGGAGAGAGUGGUGGAGGCAGCUCUGGGACAGGCGGAAGCAGGGAACGACGCAAAAGCGGAUGUAGUGCAGGAAGCGGUUGAGGAGGAUUCACUGGGGACAAAAUCAAAAGAGAGUGAAGCUGAGGUAGAAGUGCUAGAGGAGGCAGUGGAGGAUGAAGAUAUGGGGGACAAGGAGGAAGAUACCGGUGUUGAAGAGAAGCAGGAGGUAGCAGAGGUGGAUGCACUUGAAGAUGUGGCCGAGGAGGGGAAAGGAGUUGUCGAGGCAGAGGGUGAAACAGCAGCUGGAUCUGUGGAGAAGACCACAGCCGCUGUAGAAACUGAAGUCAGACAGACAGAGGGUGUGGAGGUUAUCGAUGAGUCGCUGGGAAGUGAGGAGGAGGUUGUGGAAGGAGCUGUGGCUGCUUUAGAAGAGAAAGGAGGGGAUUUGGCCAUAGAGGAGGCAGGGGAGGAGGACAGCGAGGAUCAGGUCGUGUUGUCUGAAGAAAAAGGAGCAGCUGAAACAGAAAUACAGGAAGCAGAGGAAGCCCCAGCUGCUGUAGAGGUGGCAGUAAUUGGACAGCCAGAUCAGGAGACUGUGGAAGAGUCUGAACCAUGGCUAGGAGAGGCUGACGUGGAGCAGAUAGGGCAUGAUGGGUCGAGAGAAGAGGCUCUGGGGGAUGAAACUCAGGUAGAUGAAACAGAACGUGAAGAGAUAAUAGUGCCUUCUGAUAAUUAUGACAUAGAAGCCACACAAAGUGUAGUAGGAGAUACAGGAGAGGAGGAGGAAGAGGAAGAAAACAUAGUAAUGGAUCCUGAAGGGCCAGAAGGAGAAGAUGGGUAUUUAGUGGAGGGAGGAACUGCAGAAGAGGAAGAAGCAGAAGGUACAGAUGUAGGGGAAGUAACAGGAGAUGAAAUAGAAGGAGAGAGUGUAAUCAAGGAGGAAUCGGUGGUAUUGGUGAAUGAGGAAAGCGUUCAAAAAGCAGGGGAGGAGGAGCAGAUUGCUUUGGAGACUUCAAACGGUGGUGAAAAGGAGGAUGAAGAAGUGGUCUCAGAGCCUGCGGAUGGUGAAGAAGCCUCAAUGGAGCAGAGCCCUGAGAACCAGGCUCCCACCUCAAACCCAUCCCUCAGUGAGGUGGAAACUGGAGAAAACACUCCUGAUGAGGAGAAGUCAGACCACGGCAACGAGAUCAUCACCACCACCGAUGACCUUUUGCCACAGGAGUCCUCUGUGGCUCAACCUACACUAGAUAAUUUCAUGAAUGGUGUUCUAGGUGAACAACCCGAGGCACAAGGAGAGGAACUAGGAGAGGCCAAUGAGCUGGUAGAAGAUACAGCUGGAACUACAGAGACAAAUGAGCUAGGCCUGGAGGCAUGGAAGAUAGGGGCUAUUUCCGCUGCAGUGUUCUUGGUUUUGGAGACUGUUGUCAUCAUUAUCUAUAUCCUCAAAUGUCGCAACAAAAACAGUACCCCGGCCCUACAGCGGGCAUGCGAAGAAGGGUGUGUUGAACCAGAGGCAGCUACAGGAGGUGACUGCAGUGACGACACACUGCCUGCAGGCAAUGGAGACACUCAACAGAUAGCCACGCUUGACCCGUCUGAUGUGGCUUCGACCCUGGCCACAACAAAGGAGAAGCAAGGAGACGAGCAUGCGAUAGCCAUGUCAGGCCUCCCGCCCGGCUCCACAGAGGAGUCAGCCAACACUGGACCAGGACCAGACUCUUCACAAGACCUCAGGACUUCCAUCCUCUAGGGGGUCCAAAUGUUUGUCUGUUCCUGCUGCGUCUAAAUGGAACCCAAAAAGGCCACUUUCCAAGCCUGCACCCAAUCCCAAAUCACCUAGUUACCCUAAAUUCUCAAACCCAACACAGACUGCCUUGGAGUCAAACUGUAAUAACUAGUGCACAUGUAUCGCAUUUAUAUUUGGUGUAUAUGUCUGUUUAUUUGUCUGUCUGUCUGUCUGUCUGUGUGUGCAUGUAACGUGAGCGAAAGAGAUACUGUAACACAUUUUGCAUGUAUGAAUAUGUGGAUGAGUGAACAGGAAGAGCAUGUUUUAAAAUACUCUGUGCAAGUGUGAGUGUGGAAAUGUGAUAAAACUGUUCUGUAUUUAGUUUGAUGUCUGUAAACUCUUUAGGCUGAAAUGGAAUUUUUUCACACUGACCACUUCAGUCAUGCUGUUCAAAGUUGUUGAAAAGAACACAGCAGGAGCAGCGACAAUAAGCAAUUUUCCUGUUUUAAUGGCAAUUCAGUACAGUGUGUUCACAAAGUGCUGGCAGUACCACAGAGUGCUAUAUCUGAGCAGUCUCAUUAAACUGUACAACACUGGCCUACGAGGAAAAGAAAGAAAAAAAACAAGAUUUUUCAUUACUGAGAUGGAUUUUAAAAUUUUAUUUGAUUUUUAUUCUACAUAACUCUUGACCUUUGUAUCAUCAUUUGUGAUUUGAGCAAUACAAAAUAAAGAGAUAAUAUUGAAAA